RNAcentral lists this ribosomal RNA (253 nucleotides) under uncultured bacterium. RNAcentral describes it as "partial 16S ribosomal RNA". It matches the Rfam family "Bacterial small subunit ribosomal RNA", at positions 524 to 776 of the family's 1533-position model. The record is from RNAcentral.
UACAGAGGUCCCAAGCGUUGUUCGGAUUCAUUGGGCGUAAAGGGUGCGUAGGCGGCGCGGUAAGUCGGGUGUGAAAUCUCGGAGCUUAACUCCGAAACUGCAUUCGAUACUGCCGUGCUUGAGGACUGGAGAGGAGACUGGAAUUUACGGUGUAGCGGUGAAAUGCGUAGAUAUCGUAAGGAAGACCAGUGGCGAAGGCGGGUCUCUGGACAGUAACUGACGCUGAGGAGCGAAAGCGUGGGGAGCGAACAGG